Molecule: long non-coding RNA, 227 nt
Filed under: Olea europaea (common olive)
Lineage: Eukaryota; Viridiplantae; Streptophyta; Magnoliopsida; Lamiales; Oleaceae
Description: long non-coding RNA (OEUR_LNC009515)
Source: RNAcentral
UACGACCAUAGGGAGAUAAGUGAACGAACCUCUCAUUGAGUUGCCAAAAUAUAGAAAUAUAGUAAGAGUUGUAUAUAUUGUUUAUCUUCCAAGUUGCAACUCUAAUGCUUCUUUUCAAAGAGAUGUAACCACUUUUUAUAGGUAAUAUCAACACCCACAAUCUCUUUGGCCAAGUUUCAAUUGUUCCACAGAUAGUACGAUUUAGGCUCAGUUCAUAGCGGGUAGCG